RNAcentral lists this ribosomal RNA (509 nucleotides) under uncultured bacterium. Its description in RNAcentral is "bacterial SSU rRNA". It matches the Rfam family "Bacterial small subunit ribosomal RNA", at positions 34 to 523 of the family's 1533-position model. The record is from RNAcentral.
CGCUGGCGGCGUGCUUAACACAUGCAAGUCAAGGUAGAAAGUUUUACUUCGGAAAAUUAUUAAACUGGCGAACGGGUGAGUAACGCGUAGGCAACCUGCCCUAGAGAUUGGGAUAACCCCGGAAACCGGGGCUAAUACUGAAUGAUGCAACUGAUCCUUCGGGAUACAGUUGUUAAAGUGGGCUUCGGCUCACACUUUAGGAUGGGCCUGCGUCCGAUUAGCUUGUUGGUGAGGUAACGGCUUACCAAGGCGAUGAUCGGUAGCUGGUCUGAGAGGAUGAUCAGCCACACUGGGAUUGAGAUACGGCCCAGACUCCUACGGGAGGCAGCAGUGGGGAAUUUUGCGCAAUGGGGGGAAACCCUGACGCAGCAACGCCGCGUGACCGAUGAAGCUUUUAGGAGCGUAAAGGUCUGUCGUAAGGGAAGAAAAGUUUGGAUGUUAAUAACAUUCGAACCUGACGGUACCUUACAAGAAAGCACCGGCUAACUUAGUGCCAGCAGCCGCGGUAA